AGAAAGUGAGGGGGUGUGUGCAACAGCCUUCAUUUUACCAUGGCUUCGAGGUGCCACAUGAAAAUGUUUCUUCUGCUCCUUAUACUGGAGAUCGUUCUGCUCAUUACCAUGCCUUCUGGAGGCCUGGCGGGUCCGAGUGCGACACAGAGAAGCAAUAGUGACAACCCCAACUGCCCCCCUUGCUACAGACCUCCUUGUCGUCAUUGUUGAAAGUAUACGGGGUUUUGCCCCAUUUAAUUUUCAUUCCUCAAAAGUCACAUAUAGAGUGA
Molecule: long non-coding RNA, 269 nt
Organism: Triticum aestivum (bread wheat)
Lineage: Eukaryota; Viridiplantae; Streptophyta; Magnoliopsida; Poales; Poaceae
Exons: 2
Source: RefSeq, a predicted model, not a curated record